Long non-coding RNA from Pocillopora verrucosa, 534 nucleotides. RefSeq lists it as uncharacterized. Lineage: Eukaryota; Metazoa; Cnidaria; Anthozoa; Scleractinia; Pocilloporidae. The record is from RefSeq and is a predicted model, not a curated record.
AUCACCGUCAUUAUGAGUGAUAAAUUGAGAGCGCAACCCUCACAACCUCAAACCUGACAAGAAGCUAAAGAAGUUACAUCGACCUGUUUAGAAGUGAAAAUUCAAGAGAUGAGUAGCCAGAUAUUGCUUUUUGAUGGGGAAGGAUAUAGCGGAACAGAAGCGCCUCUUACCGCGGACAGCCCGGACCUAACUAAAGCUCCAACAAACCUUACCAAAGGGGCGUCCUCCGUGAAGAUCGGAGAUGAUCAAAGCCAGUGGCAGGCGUUCUCAAACACCGGCUACCAAGGAACUCCCGUCUAUUUGCAACCUGGGAAUUCUUAUCCAAGCCUGAAAAGUAUGGAGCUUACUAGCCCCAUCAAGAGCAUGCGUGCUUCACCUUCACACUGAAGCAAUUCAGAAGAAGACAGAGUGGAAGUGAUUGAAGCAAUCUAGCUAUAGUUAAGAAGUUAAAGUUAAGUUAAAUUCAAGGUUGCAAUUUUGUGCUUGACAUAAGCUAAGCUGUCCACGGUCUAAUAAAGGAAUGUCAUUCCCCAA